This 216-nucleotide ribosomal RNA is filed under the name Triticum aestivum (bread wheat). Its description in RNAcentral is "partial small subunit ribosomal RNA". Lineage: Eukaryota; Viridiplantae; Streptophyta; Magnoliopsida; Poales; Poaceae. The record is from RNAcentral.
AUGUUGUCAGUCCGGGGCCCCUCCAGCACCUUUAGUACCGGUUCGUGGCACGAACCGGUGCUAAAGGUCGUCCUACAUAAACCCUUCGUCCACCCGAGCUUGCUCUGUUCUUCCCCUUUCCCCUCUCCUCUCCGUUCUUUCCCUCUUCCUCUCGAGCUCAUCACACAUUUUGCCCAAAAUUUGUCAAGAUUUGAAGCUCCCCAUCCAUUCAAAUGA